Molecule: long non-coding RNA, 606 nt
Organism: Manacus vitellinus (golden-collared manakin)
Lineage: Eukaryota; Metazoa; Chordata; Aves; Passeriformes; Pipridae
Source: Ensembl
UGGGUGCAUGGAUACACCAGCUCCCUGCACUGUCUGUCCAGGGAGGGCCUGUGUCUGCCUGCUAACAGCUCUCCUCUUCUUCCUAGGCAUGCCACGACCACACCAUCCAGUUUGCCCUCCUGGUCCUCCAGGACACCAUGGUCCCGGCACAGGUCCCCACCCUGGUGGCCCUGCUGUCUGCCCCCCUCCCCCUGGCCAUGGGCAUCCUCCCCAUGGGCACCCCCAUCCAUGACCACCUCAUGGCCAUCAGGAGCAUGAUUAGAAGUACCAUAAGAAGCACCAUAAGGGCAAGCACUCCAAGCACCAUGGAGACAAGCACUCCAGUGGCUCAAGCAGCAGCUCUGACUCUGACUGAAGAUCUGGCAUCUCCCACCUUCAGCAAAACACGAAGCCAAACACCUUGUGGGAACUCCCUGCAUGUAGCUCUACUCCCUUCCCCUUUCCCUUACAGCAGUGUUUUGCCUGCUGACUGAUUUUCUUGUGUUUACAUUGUAAAUGAUUUGUCCUGGAAUCCCUGAGUCACUGGACAGCAUCUCCAUCGUCUGUCUUUUGGGGGAGCCUGCUGAAAGUCAUCAUGUGCUUGUUUGCAAUCUGCUGGUGUCCGUG